This 447-nucleotide ribosomal RNA is filed under the name uncultured bacterium. Its description in RNAcentral is "partial 16S ribosomal RNA". It matches the Rfam family "Bacterial small subunit ribosomal RNA", at positions 29 to 523 of the family's 1533-position model. The record is from RNAcentral.
AACGAACGCUGGCGGCAGGCCUAACACAUGCAAGUCGAGCGCCCCGCAAGGGGAGCGGCAGACGGGUGAGUAACACGUGGGAACGUGCCCGAAGGUACGGAACAACUCCGGGAAACUGGAGCUAAUACCGUAUGUGACCGAGAGGUGAAAGAUUUAUCGCCUUCGGAUCGGCCCGCGUCUGAUUAGGUAGUUGGUGGGGUAAAGGCCUACCAAGCCUACGAUCAGUAGCUGGUCUGAGAGGAUGAUCAGCCACACUGGGACUGAGACACGGCCCCGACUCCUACGGGAGGCAGCAGCGGGAAAUCUUGGACAAUGGGCGCAAGCCUGAUCCAGCCAUGCCGCGUGGACGAUGAAGGCCAUAGAGUUGUAAACUCCUUUCGUCAGGGACGAUAAUGACGGUACCUGAAGAAGAAGCCCCGGCUAACUUCGUGCCAGCCGCCGCCGUAA